Molecule: ribosomal RNA, 450 nt
Filed under: uncultured bacterium
Lineage: Bacteria
Description: partial 16S ribosomal RNA
Rfam family: Bacterial small subunit ribosomal RNA
Source: RNAcentral
CCUAGGGUGGCUGCAGUAAGGAAUAUUGGUCAAUGGAGGAAACUCUGAACCAGCCAUCCCGCGUGAAGGAUGAAGGGGCUCUGCCUUGUAAACUUCUUUUGUCUGGGGCGAAAAAGCUCGAUUUAUCGAGAACUGACGGUACCAGAAGAAUAAGCACCGGCUAACUCCGUGCCAGCAGCCGCGGUAAUACGGAGGGUGCACGCGUUAUCCGGAAUCACUGGGUUUAAAGGGGGCUUAGGCAGUCUGUGGUGAAAGGCUGUGGCUUAACCAUGGAAUUGCCAUUGAUACUGCAGAGCUUGAAUGAGGUUGAGGUUGGCGGAAUGUGACAUGUAGCGGUGAAAUGCUUAGAUAUGUCAUGGAACACCGAUUGCGAAGGCAGCUGACUGGACCUAUAUUGACGCUGAGGCACGAAAGCGUGGGGAGCGAACAGGAUUAGAUACCCUUGUAGUC